This 497-nucleotide ribosomal RNA is filed under the name uncultured bacterium. RNAcentral's name for it is "bacterial SSU rRNA". It matches the Rfam family "Bacterial small subunit ribosomal RNA", at positions 29 to 518 of the family's 1533-position model. The record is from RNAcentral.
AUGAACGCUAGCGACAGGCCUAACACAUGCAAGUCGAGGGGCAGCGACAAGGAGCAAUCUGAGGUGGCGACCGGCGGCACGGGUGAGUAACACGUAUGCAACCUGCCUGUAAGCGGGGAAUAACCCGUUGAAAGACGGACUAAUACCGCAUAAUACUAAAUUACUGCAUGGUAAUUUAUUUAAACAUUUAUGGCUUACAGAUGGGCAUGCGCAUGAUUAGCUAGUUGGAGAGGUAACGGCUCCCCAAGGCAACGAUCAUUAGGGGUUCUGAGAGGAAGGUCCCCCACACUGGUACUGAGACACGGACCAGACUCCUACGGGAGGCAGCAGUGAGGAAUAUUGGUCAAUGGACGAGAGUCUGAACCAGCCAAGUCGCGUGCAGGAAGAAUGUCCCUAUGGAUUGUAAACUGCUUUUGCAGGGGAAUAAAGUGCAUCACGUGUGAUGUUUUGUAUGUACUCUGCGAAUAAGGAUCGGCUAACUCCGUGCCAGCAGCGGC